GUUAGAUCACCGAAAUCAAGCAUCAUUGGGCGCGGUCAGUACUUGGGUGGGUGACCACCUGGGAACACCGCGUGCCGUU
Caerostris darwini is the source of this 79-nucleotide non-coding RNA. NCBI's taxonomy places the organism in Eukaryota, Metazoa, Arthropoda, Arachnida, Araneae, Araneidae. The record is from the annotation of a GenBank genome assembly.